GAUGAACGCUGGCGGCGUGCUUAACACAUGCAAGUCGAACGGAAAGGCUCCUGCUUGCAGGGGUACUCGAGUGGCGAACGGGUGAGUAACACGUGGGUGAUCUGCCCUGCACUUCGGGAUAAGCCUGGGAAACUGGGUCUAAUACCGGAUAGGACCACAUUUUGGAUGGUGUGGUGGAAAGUUUUUCGGUGUGGGAUGAGCUCGCGGCCUAUCAGCUUGUUGGUGGGGUAAUGGCCUACCAAGGCGUCGACGGGUAGCCGGCCUGAGAGGGUGUACGGCCACAUUGGGACUGAGAUACGGCCCAGACUCCUACGGGAGGCAGCAGUGGGGAAUAUUGCACAAUGGGCGCAAGCCUGAUGCAGCGACGCCGCGUGGGGGAUGACGGCCUUCGGGUUGUAAACUCCUUUCGCUAGGGACGAAGCGUAAGUGACGGUACCUGGAGAAGAAGCACCGGCUAACUACGUG
RNAcentral lists this ribosomal RNA (465 nucleotides) under uncultured bacterium. RNAcentral describes it as "partial 16S ribosomal RNA". It matches the Rfam family "Bacterial small subunit ribosomal RNA", at positions 28 to 507 of the family's 1533-position model. The record is from RNAcentral.